GUCUUGUUGAUAAUUAUAAUAAGUCUGUCCUGCCCGGUGAUAAAUAAUUUAACGGCCGCAGUAUAUUGACUGUGCAAAGGUAGCAUAAUCAUUAGUCUUUUAAUAGGAGGCUGGAAUGAAAGGGUUGACGAGAUAUCAGCUGUCUCACUUUUAUUAUUUGAAUUUAAAUUUUAGGUUAAAAUGCCUAACUGUUUUUGGAAGACGAGAAGACCCUAUAGAGCUUUAUUGAUUUUUAUUAAUUUUUAAUUUAUAAAUUAUAUUAAUUUAAAUUUUUUUUGUUGGGGUGAUGGUAAAUAAAUAUUUAACUUUUAUUAUUUUUUUUACAUUUAUUUAUGAAUAAUUAGAUCCUUUUUAGAUUGUUAGAAUAAGUUACCUUAGGGAUAACAGCGUAAUUUUUCUUGUGAGUUCUUAUUUUCGGAAAAGAUUGCGACCUCGAUGUUGGAUUAAGAUUAUAAUUGGGUGCAGUAGCUUGAUUUAUAGGUCUGUUCGACCUUUAAUUUCUUACAUGAUCUGAGUUCAGACCGG
RNAcentral lists this ribosomal RNA (525 nucleotides) under Cyrano angustior. Its description in RNAcentral is "partial 16S ribosomal RNA". It matches the Rfam family "Bacterial large subunit ribosomal RNA", at positions 1829 to 2619 of the family's 2925-position model. The record is from RNAcentral. Lineage: Eukaryota; Metazoa; Arthropoda; Insecta; Odonata; Chlorocyphidae.